RNAcentral lists this transfer RNA (85 nucleotides) under Felis catus (domestic cat). It matches the Rfam family "tRNA". Rfam says of the family: Transfer RNA (tRNA) molecules are approximately 80 nucleotides in length. Lineage: Eukaryota; Metazoa; Chordata; Mammalia; Carnivora; Felidae. The record is from Rfam by way of RNAcentral.
GCCUGGGUGGCUCAGUCGGUUGAGCGUCCGACUUCGGCUCAGAUCAUGAUCUUGGAGUUUGUGAGCUCGAGCCUCGCGUCAGGCU